RNAcentral lists this ribosomal RNA (428 nucleotides) under uncultured eukaryote. RNAcentral describes it as "bacterial SSU rRNA". It matches the Rfam family "Eukaryotic small subunit ribosomal RNA", at positions 592 to 1018 of the family's 1831-position model. The record is from RNAcentral.
CAAUAGCGUAUAUUAAAGUUGUUGCAGUUAAAAAGCUCGUAGUUGGAUUUCUGGGGAGGGUGCCAAUGUCCGUCGUCGUACGUGUUGCAGCGGCGCCCUUCCAUCCUUCUGUUAACGACUUUGGGCAUUCACUUGCCGGAGUCGGGCUCAGAUAUUUUACCUUGAGAAAAUUAGAGUGUUUCAGGCAGGCUAGGCCGGAAUACAUAGCAUGGAAGUAAUAGGAAGUAAGGACGUACGGUUCGUCUUUGUUGGUUUUGUAGGGUACUGGCAAGUAAUGAUUAAUAGGGACAGUUGGGGCCGUUUAUAUUUCGUUGUCAGAGGUGAAAUUCUUGGAUUUACGAAAGAUAAACUUCUGCGAAAGCAUUUGCCAAGGAUGUUUUCAUUGAUCAAGAACGAAAGUUAGGGGAUCGAAGACGAUUAGAUACCGU